Molecule: ribosomal RNA, 494 nt
Filed under: uncultured bacterium
Lineage: Bacteria
Description: partial 16S ribosomal RNA
Rfam family: Bacterial small subunit ribosomal RNA
Source: RNAcentral
GACGAACGCUGGCGGCGUGCUUAACACAUGCAAGUCGAACGGUGAAGCGCCUUCCUUUUUGGUGGGUGUGGAUGAGUGGCGAACGGGUGAGUAACACGUGAGUAACCUGCCCCCUUCUUCUGGAUAACCGCAUGAAAGUGUGGCUAAUACGGGAUAUUCUGGGUCUGUCGCAUGAUGGGUCUGGGAAAGAUAUUGUUUCGGUGGGGGAUGGGCUCGCGGCCUAUCAGCUUGUUGGUGGGGUGAUGGCCUACCAAGGCGGUGACGGGUAGCCGGCCUGAGAGGGUGGACGGUCACACUGGGACUGAGACACGGCCCAGACUCCUACGGGAGGCAGCAGUGGGGAAUAGUGAACAAUGGGCGCGAGCCUGAUGCAGCGACGCCGCGUGAGGGAUGGAGGCCUUCGGGUUGUGAACCUCUUUCGCCAGUGAAGCAGGCCUGCCUCGUUUGUGGGUGGGUUGACGGUAGCUGGAGAAGAAGCGCCGGCUAACUACGUG